RNAcentral lists this ribosomal RNA (292 nucleotides) under uncultured bacterium. Its description in RNAcentral is "partial 16S ribosomal RNA". It matches the Rfam family "Bacterial small subunit ribosomal RNA", at positions 505 to 796 of the family's 1533-position model. The record is from RNAcentral.
GUGUCAGCCGCCGCGGUAAUACAGAGGUCCCGAGCGUUGUUCGGAUUCACUGGGCGUAAAGGGUGCGUAGGUGGUGAGGUAAGUCGGAUGUGAAAUCUCCGGGCUCAACCCGGAAAUGGCAUUGGAAACUACCUUGCUGGAGGAUUUGAGGGGGGAUUGGAAUACUUGGUGUAGCAGUGAAAUGCGUAGAUAUCAAGUGGAACACCAGUGGCGAAGGCGAAUCCCUGGAAAAUACCUGACACUGAGGCACGAAAGCUAGGGGAGCAAACAGGAUUAGAAACCCCCGUAGUCC